This 2191-nucleotide long non-coding RNA is filed under the name Homo sapiens (human). RNAcentral describes it as "long non-coding RNA NONHSAT203092.1". Lineage: Eukaryota; Metazoa; Chordata; Mammalia; Primates; Hominidae. The record is from RNAcentral.
CUGGGCAUAGGCAGUAAUAUAAGGCAAGAUGGCUAAGGAAGAAGGUGGGCAGCGGAGCCGGUGAAGGAAGCCGCAGGCGCGGAUGGAGGCGAAGAGAUCAGGAGCAGUAAAGGAACACUCUCUUCCCCAGUCAGCUGGGAUACGGAUUUUGUAAGGCCUAGGGACUUUGUCUUUGGAGGUCCUGUCUCCAUAAGGCUUCCCAAAACAAAGAAUGUUCAGAUUGGACUGGCCUUAAAAUGCAGUAUUUAAAACAGCAACAUGUCUGACAGAUCCGAGAAAUGAAAUACGUCCAUUUCUUUUGGCAAGGAGCAGAAGGCAACAUAAAGCAGCUGCAAGAAUUAAUUCAUGGAGAUAGUUGACAUUUUCGAGCUGACUGCCUCUUAGAGAAAAUGAUGUCAUUCUCCAGCAGCCUAAUGACAGUCAUCAGCCUGAGAGGACACAUGCUAAUAAGACUAUCACCAGCAAAGAAUUUUCUGAGCAAAUGUGUACUGGAGACCUUCUGAGGAACCCACUAGAGCCUGCACAUCCCCUUUUCCUAGCAAGGUCAACUGGAAAACAGUGUUCUUUCCAAGAUAACGUGCAACUUUCCUUUGGAAUGAUCAGCAGAAUGUCAAAUAAGGAAAGGACAUGUAGAGUUCAUGGGAGGAGACAUUACUUCUGGCUGCAGAAUUAUGGAGGCUUUAUGGGAGACGCCGUAUAUUUUAUCUGUGCGCCUUGAUCACGUGUCUGACCAUGGACAGAGAAACCAGCCUAAUGAGCCUUCUUUACAGGAAGCCCCAAGCUGUUUUCCAAAGUGGUUGUACCAUUUUACAUUCUCACCAGCAAUGUACCAGGGUAAGACUUAUUUGCAAUUUUCUCCUGCUUAUAGAAUUCUAAAGCUAUGUAAAAGGUUAGAAAUGUAACAGGUGGGUCAUUUUGAUACUUAUUUAGAAAGCCUACUUUUUCUUUCCAAACUACAAACAUUUCUGUUGUCUAAUGAGCAGAUGCUACCAGCUAAUGAAGCAGGAAUACUAAUUUCUUAUUUGAUUCAUAAUAAUAUUCAGUAAUUACAGAGGAAUCUUUACUUAUCUAGCUUUCUGUGUAUAUGUGUUCUACAGUACUAAUUUUUCUUUCUUUUCUUUUAAAAAUUCACCUUCCUUACUGCUUUGUUAUUUAAUGAUUUGUUCUGAUUAUAGACCAUUAAUGCCUGUUUAAAAAAAAAGUCCACAUGUGCAUUUCAAUACCUCUUUUAUUUUAUACUGAUUCAAAGCAAUUCAAUUCUUCAUUCCUAAAAACAUUUAGGCUGAGGCAUAAAAUAGCCAAUUUAAACGAAGUAACAUUUAGUCUUUGAAAUUGCCGUAUAUGUAUUCUUCAUUUAUGCCUACCUGAAAAUGUCAGGUAUGAAAUGAAUUUUAGUGACUCAAUUGUUAUUCUAUAGGCAAAUCCUUAUCUUAUAAACAUACUAGAUAACUUUAUAAGAUAAAUCUGUUUCUAAGACAAAAUUUGUCCAUAAUUCUGAAUUUCUUUCUUUCUUUAUUUACUUAAUGAAAAGGAUGUUUCAUGAACCUUCUAAUUCUUUCCUACUGUGGAUGUUAGUUGGCAUUUUGUAUUGAAUUUCAACAUUUGAGAAUAAGUCAUGGGUCCAGCUAAUCUGCAUAGACCAAUUUGGAGCAGCAUCCUUAAUGAGUGGUGAACUUUCUCUGUUCUCCAGACAAUAUCAACUCUGCCACUUGAAACCAAGGCUUCUAAUGACAUGAACUGAAGGAAAAGUCUUGAUUUCAGAUUUUUGUUUGGCCUGUUUCAUCUCCAUUUGCCGACCCUGGAUUACGCAGAUAGUGCACUGCUUUUAGUAAUCUAGGCCCUUGUGCCAGACCUUGACUGUCAUACUGCAUUAUAACUGAUGGUUCAAAUGCUUCUUUUACAUAAGGAGUAUUUUCUUCCCAGAGAUACCUCUAAGAUAUUCAUGGCUAACUAAAAAUACUCCUGAAUGCUGUUCUCAAGUAGAGUUUCAAGGUCAACAUGAAAAUUGUUAUCACUCUCUUAUGUGACAUAAAAAAAUCUGUUUUAUCUUUGUAACAAUGCUUUCAUUAAAAAAAAAAAAAAGCUUUGCAAUUCCUCUGCUACACUAGUGUUUUCUCAGAUACCAAACAGGCUAUGCCUUGAUGGCAAGAAGAACAAGUUAUGAUUAUUUAUAUGCCAGUGUGCACUUGUU